AUCUCUGAGUUAGAAUAAACUGUUAAGACUUAAAACUUACUCAUUUUACCUUUUACCAUGGGGCUUGUAACCGUCACUUGUGUCUUGAGCAGUUAAAAGAUAGAACGGUCAAGUCAAGCGCCAUGUCUCUUAUUCUUGAUCAGCUAUAGCUCUGGGGUUUUUUGCAGAUUUUCAAAUAAAACUCAGAGAUUCCUUAUAUGACUCUCUCAGAUCUCUCUUUUGUGGUAUUUAUGGAUCCUUACCAAGGCAGUAAUGGUAUAUGCCUUCUCUCAAAGUAUGUGGUAUUUUUGGUAUGAGGCAUAGUGAUAUUGCCUUCUCUCUCACCCUACUCUAAUAAAGUUCUGAUAUCUGGAGCUCAUAGGUGGGAGACAGCUAAUACAUACUUACAAGACAUUUAUUGCAUAGUCAAACCAUGGAUCUAGAGAAACAAAUCAAUAAUCAAAUCAAGAUGUGCAUGUGUGGUGAAUGAAUGGUGUAUGGUGAUGAUGGUGAUAAUGAUGGUGAAAGUCUAAUUCUAUUUUUUAUGCUCUUUUGAGGGGAUACAUACAUUUCUUGUACUUUGAAGCUUUUUGGGGAGAAUGAGAUGCUCUAUAUUUUCUUUUUCUUUCCUCUCAGGUGGGUAUCUUGUACCCCUAAUUCUACUGUCGGACACUUGUCCAUUUUUACCUCUCGUCUCACUUUUUCUUUUCUUCGAGGUUCCGGGCACUUGCCCCUUUUUAUUUCCUCGUAUUAUUGUUAUUAUUUUUCUUUCUUUUUCUCUUUCUCUUUUUUUAGAGCACUCAUCUCCUGAAAGAAUGUAGCAAGUGGUAGUAACCAAAAUAACUGGAGCAUUUAUUUCACAGGGAAUAACAGGGAUAGGAAAAUAUUUUUUUUGCUAUUCUCUCCCGGAUUAGGAGUAGAAUAAUUUCGGGUGAAUGUGGAGAUGGAAAUGAGUGGAUGUAUGUGGAUGCGUACUUCCGGAGUAGAAGUAGCAAGUAUGAGUGAACGUGCAAGUGAAUCUUGAUUUUAACCACAUGACAAGCUCCUAAGGGUCUACACAGCUUGACCACACUCAAUGCUCAUAAGUAGUAAAAAGUAAAUAUGUGGCUCAAAGUCUAGCAAGCAUGUAUAUGUGGCUGUGGUAGGAUUUUAAACUCUCAUCAUAUAGGAACUCAUCAUGUAUUAUUUUAAAGAUUUUUUCAAAGAUAAAAUUCUCUAGAAUUCUAGCAUCUCUAGGAACAGAUAAACAGCAGCUCAACCUUCCCAUAUCAUAUCCGUUAACGACUUAGACUUUAGAUCAAGUACUCUUCCCACAAGUUUAGGUUUAGAGCAAGCUUUAAAUUAUAACAGUUAUGCCUAAACUUGAGAGAGAUUUCAAUUUUAAGAACUAGUCAAGGCAGAGCAACUAUUCAUCAUUUCCAUGAGAGAGCUUAUCAUGAGGGUUCAUAGCAAAUUUUAUUUAUUUAUUUAUUUAGCAAACUAAGCAAAGAUAUAUAUAUAAAAGCACAAAAUCUUUAUUUGGGUUUUUCAUAGUUUAUGUAUUUUAAUAUUCUAACAUAAUAUAAGUAUAAAGAUAGGUAGAAAUACUUAGCGAGAUAAAUGGGGGUGCUCUCCCCCAAGCUGAAUUUUGACGUAAUUUCUUCUGAUGUAGCUAGCAGGUGAUGGAGGUGUAUUUGAAAGUCGACAGCACCCCGACAGCGAUUAGGAUGUCCUCCGUCUGCUAGUCUUCUUUGAUCCUUGAAUUCUGUGGAGCUCAAAUAGACAACAAAGCUUUGUGGAACUGGUUAAGUGUUAGCAUAAAUAUCUAGCCUUUAUCAUGUUGAGCCUCCUCAAUAUUACUUAUUUAGCAGGAUCAUGCACUUAUUAUUUUUAUAUUUUUAUUGUA
Molecule: long non-coding RNA, 1864 nt
Filed under: Sorghum bicolor (sorghum)
Lineage: Eukaryota; Viridiplantae; Streptophyta; Magnoliopsida; Poales; Poaceae
Description: long non-coding RNA (SBIC_LNC012247)
Source: RNAcentral